UAAGCUAGGAAGAGUCUUGCUUUGGGAACC
Molecule: non-coding RNA, 30 nt
Filed under: Rattus norvegicus (Norway rat)
Lineage: Eukaryota; Metazoa; Chordata; Mammalia; Rodentia; Muridae
Source: RNAcentral